Molecule: transfer RNA, 73 nt
Filed under: Labilithrix sp.
Lineage: Bacteria; Pseudomonadati; Myxococcota; Polyangiales; Labilitrichaceae
Also listed under: 2 other names
Description: tRNA-Val
Source: RNAcentral
GCGGCGCUGGCAGUCUAGCGACUGCGCCUGCAUGACGAGCAGGAGGAGGCAGGUGCGAUCCCUGCGCGCCGCA